Molecule: ribosomal RNA, 448 nt
Filed under: uncultured bacterium
Lineage: Bacteria
Description: partial 16S ribosomal RNA
Rfam family: Bacterial small subunit ribosomal RNA
Source: RNAcentral
CCUACGGGCGGCUGCAGUGGGGAAUUUUGGACAAUGGGCGCAAGCCUGAUCCAGCCAUGCCGCGUGCAGGAUGAAGGCCCUCGGGUUGUAAACUGCUUUUGUACGGAACGAAAAGCCUCUCUCGAAUAAAGAGGGGUGAUGACGGUACCGUAAGAAUAAGCACCGGCUAACUACGUGCCAGCAGCCGCGGUAAUACGUAGGGUGCGAGCGUUAAUCGGAAUGCGCGGGCGUAAAGCGUGCGCAGGGGGGAAAUCCCCGGGCGCAACCUGGGAACGGCCAUUGUGACUGCAAGGCUGGAGUACGGCAGAGGGGGAUGGAAUUCCGCGUGUAGCAGUGAAAUGCGUAGAUAUGCGGAGGAACACCGAUGGCGAAGGCAGUCCCCUGGGCCUAUACUGACGCUCAUGCACGAAAGCGUGGGGAGCAAACAGGAUUAGAUACCCGGGUAGUC